Molecule: non-coding RNA, 77 nt
Organism: Argiope bruennichi
Lineage: Eukaryota; Metazoa; Arthropoda; Arachnida; Araneae; Araneidae
Source: the annotation of a RefSeq genome assembly
UCCGCAGUGGCGCAAUUGGUUGUUAGCACGUGGUAUUUAUAAUGCCGAGGCUGUGAGUUCGAUCCUCACCUGCGGAA